AUAAGUUUUCUUUUUCGAGCAUGCGCACUUGAGAAGUUUGUGAAAAGCCCGCGAAGCAAAGAGAAUUUUCCUUCCGGUCUUGGAUGUGUCAAGUGAUCUUCUUGAUCAGAAAUUCAAUUACGUCGUCGGUUGACAUCUACCUAUACCCAUGGAUUAUCUCCAUCACCUUCACAACCUUGAAUUGCUAAGAGAGCUACCUUUGCCAAGACCACGUCGUGGGCUACGGGAUGCUAGAAAUCCAUCGGAAUCGUAUGAGGAUGGGCCAUUUCGAGAUCGGUAUCAACUGUCAAAAGAAACCGUCAUUUACAUCAUCAACAUGCUGGAAGCCAAAUUG
This is a long non-coding RNA of Lytechinus pictus (painted urchin), 334 nucleotides long. RefSeq lists it as uncharacterized. The transcript has 3 exons. Lineage: Eukaryota; Metazoa; Echinodermata; Echinoidea; Temnopleuroida; Toxopneustidae. The record is from RefSeq and is a predicted model, not a curated record.